Molecule: unclassified non-coding RNA, 159 nt
Filed under: uncultured Sordariomycetes
Lineage: Eukaryota; Fungi; Ascomycota; Sordariomycetes
Description: sequence contains ITS2
Source: RNAcentral
CCACCCGUCAAGCCCUGCUUGUGUUGGGGACCCGCGGCUGCCGCGGGCCCUGAAAACCAGUGGCGGGACCGCCCCCGCGCCGAGCGUAGUAGCAACGCCUCGCUCCGGUGCCUCGGCGGACCCCCGGCCCAGACCACCGCGCCCCCGCGCGCGACCUCG